RNAcentral lists this ribosomal RNA (301 nucleotides) under uncultured bacterium. RNAcentral's name for it is "partial 16S ribosomal RNA". It matches the Rfam family "Bacterial small subunit ribosomal RNA", at positions 509 to 807 of the family's 1533-position model. The record is from RNAcentral.
CAGCCGCCGCGGUAAUACGUAGGUGGCAAGCGUUGUCCGGAAUUACUGGGCGUAAAGGGCUCGCAGGCGGUUUCUUAAGUCUGAUGUGAAAGCCCCCGGCUCAACCGGGGAGGGUCAUUGGAAACUGGGAAACUUGAGUGCAGAAGAGGAGAGUGGAAUUCCACGUGUAGCGGUGAAAUGCGUAGAGAUGUGGAGGAACACCAGUGGCGAAGGCGACUCUCUGGUCUGUAACUGACGCUGAGGAGCGAAAGCGUGGGGAGCGAACAGGAUUAGAUACCCCCGUAGUCCCUGUCUCUUAUAC